UUGUUAUGACGGCCUAGGAAACUAAUA
RNAcentral lists this non-coding RNA (27 nucleotides) under Homo sapiens (human). Lineage: Eukaryota; Metazoa; Chordata; Mammalia; Primates; Hominidae. The record is from RNAcentral.